Molecule: ribosomal RNA, 422 nt
Filed under: uncultured Flavisolibacter sp.
Lineage: Bacteria; Pseudomonadati; Bacteroidota; Chitinophagia; Chitinophagales; Chitinophagaceae
Description: bacterial SSU rRNA
Rfam family: Bacterial small subunit ribosomal RNA
Source: RNAcentral
UAAGGAAUAUUGGUCAAUGGACGCAAGUCUGAACCAGCCAUGCCGCGUGAAGGAUGAAGGCCCUCUGGGUUGUAAACUUCUUUUACAGGGGAAGAAACCUCUUUUUUCCAAAAGAGUUGACGGUACCCUGGGAAUAAGCACCGGCUAACUCCGUGCCAGCAGCCGCGGUAAUACGGAGGGUGCAAGCGUUAUCCGGAUUCACUGGGUUUAAAGGGUGCGUAGGAGGGCAGGUAAGUCAGUGGUGAAAUCUCCGAGCUUAACUUGGAAACUGCCGUUGAUACUAUCUGUCUUGAAUACCGUGGAGGUGAGCGGAAUAUGUCAUGUAGCGGUGAAAUGCUUAGAUAUGACAUAGAACACCAAUUGCGAAGGCAGCUCACUACACGAAUAUUGACUCUGAGGCACGAAAGCGUGGGGAUCAAACA